This 450-nucleotide ribosomal RNA is filed under the name uncultured Glomus. RNAcentral's name for it is "SSU rRNA". It matches the Rfam family "Eukaryotic small subunit ribosomal RNA", at positions 569 to 1025 of the family's 1831-position model. The record is from RNAcentral. Lineage: Eukaryota; Fungi; Glomeromycota; Glomeromycetes; Glomerales; Glomeraceae.
AGCAGCCGCGGUAAUUCCAGCUCCAAUAGCGUAUAUUAAAGUUGUUGCAGUUAAAAAGCUCGUAGUUGAAUUUCGGGGUUAGCAAGUUGGUCGUACCAUCGGUAUGCACUGGCUUUGCUGAUUCCUCCUUCUUGAAGAACUGUGAUGCUAUUAAUUUGGUGUUGCAGGGAAACAGGACUGUUACUUUGAAAAAUUAGAGUGUUUAAAGCAGGCUAACGCUUGAAUACAUUAGCAUGGAAUAAUGAAAUAGGACGUUUGAUCCUAUUUUGUUGGUUUCUAGGAUUGACGUAAUGAUUAAUAGGGAUAGUUGGGGGCAUUAGUAUUCAAUUGUCAGAGGUGAAAUACUUGGAUUUAUUGAAGACUAACUACUGCGAAAGCAUUUGCCAAGGAUGUUUCAUUAAUCAAGAACGAAAGUUAGGGGAUCGAAGACGAUCAGAUACCGUCGUAGUC